This 664-nucleotide long non-coding RNA is filed under the name Androctonus crassicauda. The record is from RNAcentral. Lineage: Eukaryota; Metazoa; Arthropoda; Arachnida; Scorpiones; Buthidae.
GCUUAGUGUUCCAAGGAAAAGCAAAUUACUGAUUAUACGUUUACUGAAUCCCUCUCCGAAAAAACAUUUAUGAUUCAACACUUAAUUCUGACCAAUUUCCGACCAGAGACACUGAGUGUAGUAAGGAGCCGACCAAUAUGCUAUCUAGCUGCCCAUCAAAUAGCUUGUCCUCUGAAGAGCAAGAACUGGAGCAAAUUUCUUAUUUGCCAGAACUCUGUAAAAACUUGGUUUGUAACAAGGUAUAUUCCUCUCAUAAUUGUCGGGUACUCUAUGUAAAGGACUCUCUUAUCGACUUUUAUGUUAAAUAAAUGGAAGCUUAAGGUUGUUAAGACUGUAGUUUCCGAUUCACCGAGUAUCACCUCAUUACUCGUCGUUACUCGCAAACGCGCCCUGCAACCGCGGUAAGGUCUGACGCCUGUCAUCGUUCACCUGACGAUUUCGGAUGGACACCCCACACCAGUUAAUAACAAUAGCAUCAUCUAGUAUGAAGUAGAGAAACAGUAACUCUGAACCAUUCAGAAAAUGUUACAUGCCCAGGACACUUUCCGGGACAAACAACUCAAAUCCGGGACAAUCCCGCAUAAUUCGGAACGUCUGGUCAAACUUUAACUCAUUUAAAUACAGGCAACAUCCAAUUGAAUAUUGUCGGCCAAAGUAGAACUCC